AGAAUCAUUCAUGUGAUUUGGUUUCUUGAAUUCCUAGGCAAACACAAUGCUAGAUCCUUGGAAAGUGCUUGUAACACUGAAACUCUAUUAGAUCCUUGGAAUCUCAAAGAACUUGUAACACUGAAACUCUAUUAGAUCCUUGGAAUCCCAAAGAAACUCUAUUAGAUCCUUGGAAUUCCAAAGAAACUUUAUUAGAUCCUUGGGAUUUUAAGAUUUAUCCCAUACAAUCAUUUCAGGAUAACGAUAGGUGAAGGCUUUUGU
RNAcentral lists this long non-coding RNA (261 nucleotides) under Prunus persica (peach). RNAcentral describes it as "long non-coding RNA (PPER_LNC006943)". The record is from RNAcentral. Lineage: Eukaryota; Viridiplantae; Streptophyta; Magnoliopsida; Rosales; Rosaceae.